GAUGAAGAACGCAGCGAAAUGCGAUAAGUAGUGUGAAUUGCAGAAUUCAGUGAAUCAUCGAAUCUUUGGACGCACAUUGCGCCCCUUGGUAUCCCGAGGGGCAUGCCUGUUCGAGCGUCAUUUCACCACUCAAGCCUGGCUUGGUGUUGGGCGACGUCCUCUUUGGGGACGCGCCUCGAAACGCUCGGCGGCGUGGCACCGGCUUUAAGCGUAGCAGAAUCUUUCGCUUUGGAAGUCGGGGCCCCGUCUGCCGGAAGACCUGCUCGCAAGGUUGACCUCGGAUCAGGCAGGGAUACCCGCUGAACUUAAGCAUAUCAAUAAGCGGAGGA
Molecule: unclassified non-coding RNA, 329 nt
Filed under: soil metagenome
Description: partial contains 5.8S ribosomal RNA, internal transcribed spacer 2, and large subunit ribosomal RNA
Rfam family: 5.8S ribosomal RNA (bases 1-120)
Source: RNAcentral